This 252-nucleotide unclassified non-coding RNA is filed under the name Hevea brasiliensis (rubber tree). The record is from RNAcentral. Lineage: Eukaryota; Viridiplantae; Streptophyta; Magnoliopsida; Malpighiales; Euphorbiaceae.
GAUUCGCUUUCCUUGGCUGAAACUUCUAGCCUUUCCUGCAUUGACGCCUCCGCCUGAUUCCCUUUUUACUCCUAAUUUUGUUCGCUUCCUUCCUCCAUACACGGAUAUUACUAUUACCCACUUACCAAUUGCUUUUUUCCACGCUUUUUCUUUCUGGAUCUUGAUCUUUUCUCAAUGUGGAAUCUCUAGAUUUUGCCUCUUGUUGCUUUGUUGUUCCUUGCAUCGGCGGCGAGAGAAUAAGCUGAAGUUACA